UCGCAAUAUGUCGCUUAGAUAUUUCUCAUAUGGUAUCGUAUAGUUAAUGCGCUUUUAAAUUUCACCCUGCUAAGGCGAACCAUUUUCUAUGUAAGAGUUAUCUCCCUUUUCACUGUUUAUCCUCUGUGUGCAUCUCCUUCGUAACAAAACAACAUAGCGACAAAAUUCUUUUUACAAAUUAUUCGUUACAUCCUCAGUAAUUUUUGGC
RNAcentral lists this long non-coding RNA (208 nucleotides) under Mytilus galloprovincialis (Mediterranean mussel). The record is from RNAcentral. Lineage: Eukaryota; Metazoa; Mollusca; Bivalvia; Mytilida; Mytilidae.